RNAcentral lists this ribosomal RNA (324 nucleotides) under uncultured eukaryote. Its description in RNAcentral is "partial 18S ribosomal RNA". It matches the Rfam family "Eukaryotic small subunit ribosomal RNA", at positions 1470 to 1796 of the family's 1831-position model. The record is from RNAcentral.
CCCUUAGAUGUCCUGGGCUGCACGCGCGCUACACUGAUGUGUCCAGUAAGCACCUAACCUCUUCCGAAAGGAGCGGGUAACCUUAGCAAAGCACAUCGUGAUGGGGAUAGAUUAUUGCAAUUAUUAGUCUUGAACGAGGAAUUCCUAGUAAGCACAAGUCAUCAGCUUGUGUUGAUUACGUCCCUGCCCUUUGUACACACCGCCCGUCGCUCCUACCGAUUGAAUGUUCCGGUGAGCUCUUCGGACUGCGCGGUCUGCAGUUUCUGCGUUCCGUGCGGAAAGUUGUGCAAACCUUAACAUUUAGAGGAAGGAGAAGUCGUAACA